GAUGAACGCUGGCGGCGUGCUUAACACAUGCAAGUCGAACGGAAAGGCCCAAGCUUGCUUGGGUACUCGAGUGGCGAACGGGUGAGUAACACGUGGGUGAUCUGCCCUGCACUUCGGGAUAAGCCUGGGAAACUGGGUCUAAUACCGGAUAGGACCACAUUUUGGAUGGUGUGGUGGAAAGUUUUUCGGUGUGGGAUGAGCUCGCGGCCUAUCAGCUUGUUGGUGGGGUAAUGGCCUACCAAGGCGUCGACGGGUAGCCGGCCUGAGAGGGUGUACGGCCACAUUGGGACUGAGAUACGGCCCAGACUCCGACGGGGGGCAGCAGUGGGGAAUAUUGCACAAUGGGCGCAAGCCUGAUGCAGCGACGCCGCGUGGGGGAGGACGGCCUUCGGGUUGUAAACGCCUUUCGCUAGGGACGAAGCGUUAUGUGACGGUACCUGGAGAAGAAGCACCGGCUAACUACGUG
This 466-nucleotide ribosomal RNA is filed under the name uncultured bacterium. RNAcentral describes it as "partial 16S ribosomal RNA". It matches the Rfam family "Bacterial small subunit ribosomal RNA", at positions 28 to 507 of the family's 1533-position model. The record is from RNAcentral.